This 659-nucleotide ribosomal RNA is filed under the name uncultured bacterium. Its description in RNAcentral is "bacterial SSU rRNA". It matches the Rfam family "Bacterial small subunit ribosomal RNA", at positions 202 to 842 of the family's 1533-position model. The record is from RNAcentral.
CAAAGAGGGGGACCUUAGGGCUUCUUGCCAUCGGAUGUGCCCAGAUGGGAUUAGCUAGUAGGUGGGGUAACGGCUCACCUAGGCGACGAUCCCUAGCUGGUCUGAGAGGAUGACCAGCCACACUGGAACUGAGACACGGUCCAGACUCCUACGGGAGGCAGCAGUGGGGAAUAUUGCACAAUGGGCGCAAGCCUGAUGCAGCCAUGCCGCGUGUAUGAAGAAGGCCUUCGGGUUGUAAAGUACUUUCAGCGGGGAGGAAGGGAGUAAAGUUAAUACCUUUGCUCAUUGACGUUACCCGCAGAAGAAGCACCGGCUAACUCCGUGCCAGCAGCCGCGGUAAUACGGAGGGUGCAAGCGUUAAUCGGAAUUACUGGGCGUAAAGCGCACGCAGGCGGUUUGUUAAGUCAGAUGUGAAAUCCCCGGGCUCAACCUGGGAACUGCAUCUGAUACUGGCAAGCUUGAGUCUCGUAGAGGGGGGUAGAAUUCCAGGUGUAGCGGUGAAAUGCGUAGAGAUCUGGAGGAAUACCGGUGGCGAAGGCGGCCCCCUGGACGAAGACUGACGCUCAGGUGCGAAAGCGUGGGGAGCAAACAGGAUUAGGUACCCUGGUAGUCCACGCCGUAAACGAUGUCGACUUGGAGGUUGUGCCCUUGAGGCGUGG